CCAGGAUGUUGGCUUAGAAGCAGCCAUCAUUUAAAGAAAGCGUAAUAGCUCACUGGUCGAGUCGGCCUGCGCGGAAGAUGUAACGGGGCUAAACCAUGCACCGAAGCUGCGGCAGCGAACGUAUCACCCAAGACAACUUUACGGAGUUGACGAUUGACGGAGCGAAGCGACGUCAAAGCGUUCAUUAAAGUCGAGUUGGCUUAGGGAUACGUUCGUUGGGUAGGGGAGCGUUCUGUAAGCCUGUGAAGGUGUGUCGUGAGGCAUGCUGGAGGUAUCAGAAGUGCGAAUGCUGACAUAAGUAACGAUAAAGCGGGUGAAAAGCCCGCUCGCCGGAAGACCAAGGGUUCCUGUCCAACGUUAAUCGGGGCAGGGUGAGUCGACCCCUAAGGCUAGGCUG
Molecule: ribosomal RNA, 397 nt
Filed under: Salmonella enterica subsp. enterica serovar Haifa
Lineage: Bacteria; Pseudomonadati; Pseudomonadota; Gammaproteobacteria; Enterobacterales; Enterobacteriaceae
Description: partial 23S ribosomal RNA
Rfam family: Bacterial large subunit ribosomal RNA
Source: RNAcentral